Molecule: Y RNA, 97 nt
Filed under: Propithecus coquereli (Coquerel's sifaka)
Lineage: Eukaryota; Metazoa; Chordata; Mammalia; Primates; Indriidae
Description: Y RNA (ENSPCOG00000007657.1)
Rfam family: Y RNA
About the family: Y RNAs are components of the Ro ribonucleoprotein particle (Ro RNP), in association with Ro60 and La proteins. The Y RNAs and Ro60 and La proteins are well conserved, but the function of the Ro RNP is not known.
Source: Rfam by way of RNAcentral
GACUGGUCUGAUGGUAAUGGAUCAUCAAAACUUAUUAACAUUAGUGUCACAAAAGUUGAUGUACGACCCCUCCACUGCUAAAUUUGACUGGCUUUAA